AAUAGAUACCCCGGUAGUCCACGCCGUAAACGAUGUCGACUUGGAGGUUGUGCCCUUGAGGCGUGGCUUCCGGAGCUAACGCGUUAAGUCGACCGCCUGGGGAGUACGGCCGCAAGGUUAAAACUCAAAUGAAUUGACGGGGGCCCGCACAAGCGGUGGAGCAUGUGGUUUAAUUCGAUGCAACGCGAAGAACCUUACCUACUCUUGACAUCCAGAGAACUUAGCAGAGAUGCUUUGGUGCCUUCGGGAACUCUGAGACAGGUGCUGCAUGGCUGUCGUCAGCUCGUGUUGUGAAAUGUUGGGUUAAGUCCCGCAACGAGCGCAACCCUUAUCCUUUGUUGCCAGCGGUUCGGCCGGGAACUCAAAGGAGACUGCCAGUGAUAAACUGGAGGAAGGUGGGGAUGACGUCAAGUCAUCAUGGCCCCUACGAGUAGGGCUACACACGUGCUACAAUGGCGUAUACAAAGAGAAGCGACCUCGCGAGAGCAAGCGGACCUCAUAAAGUACGUCGUAGUCCGGAUUGGAGUCUGC
This 531-nucleotide ribosomal RNA is filed under the name uncultured bacterium. RNAcentral describes it as "bacterial SSU rRNA". It matches the Rfam family "Bacterial small subunit ribosomal RNA", at positions 777 to 1308 of the family's 1533-position model. The record is from RNAcentral.